Molecule: transfer RNA, 72 nt
Filed under: Amborella trichopoda
Lineage: Eukaryota; Viridiplantae; Streptophyta; Magnoliopsida; Amborellales; Amborellaceae
Rfam family: tRNA
About the family: Transfer RNA (tRNA) molecules are approximately 80 nucleotides in length. Their secondary structure includes four short double-helical elements and three loops (D, anti-codon, and T loops).
Source: Rfam by way of RNAcentral
GUCCCUUUCGUCUAGCGGUUAGGACAUUAUCUUUUCAUGUCGAAGACAUGAGUUCGAUUCGUGUAGGGGAUA